RNAcentral lists this ribosomal RNA (699 nucleotides) under uncultured bacterium. Its description in RNAcentral is "bacterial SSU rRNA". It matches the Rfam family "Bacterial small subunit ribosomal RNA", at positions 49 to 793 of the family's 1533-position model. The record is from RNAcentral.
UGAGACAUGCAAGUCGAGCGGUCAGCAAUGGCAGCGGCGGACGGGUGCGUAACGCGUAGGAACGUGUCUUGAGGUGGGGGACAACCCUGGGAAACUGGGGCUAAUACCGCAUAUGGGCUGAGGCCCAAAGCCGUAGGGCGCCUUUGGAGCGGCCUGCGUCCGAUUAGCUAGUUGGUGGGGUAAAGGCCUACCAAGGCUCCGAUCGGUAGCUGGUCUGAGAGGACGAUCAGCCACACUGGGACUGAGACACGGCCCAGACUCCUACGGGAGGCAGCAGUGGGGAAUAUUGGACAAUGGGCGCAAGCCUGAUCCAGCAAUGCCGCGUGGGUGAAGAAGGUCUUCGGAUCGUAAAGCCCUUUCGACAGGGACGAUGAUGACGGUACCUGUAGAAGAAGCCCCGGCUAACUUCGUGCCAGCAGCCGCGGUAAUACGAAGGGGGCUAGCGUUGCUCGGAAUUACUGGGCGUAAAGGGCGCGUAGGCGGCUUAGUCAGUCAGGCGUGAAAUUCCUGGGCUUAACCUGGGGGCUGCGCUUGAUACGGCUAGGCUUGAGGGUAGGAGAGGGUCGUGGAAUUCCCAGUGUAGAGGUGAAAUUCGUAGAUAUUGGGAAGAACACCGGUGGCGAAGGCGGCGACCUGGCCUAUUACUGACGCUGAGGCGCGACAGCGUGGGGAGCAAACAGGAUUAGAUACCCUUGGUAC